Non-coding RNA from Myotis lucifugus (little brown bat), 76 nucleotides. NCBI's taxonomy places the organism in Eukaryota, Metazoa, Chordata, Mammalia, Chiroptera, Vespertilionidae. The record is from Rfam.
UGCGAUUCUCAGUUGACACACCCCAGAAUUGGGCUCCAUCCUCUCUGGUUCCUGGGUGUGUCACCCAAGAACCGCU